Molecule: ribosomal RNA, 166 nt
Filed under: Microbacterium sp. UMB0228
Lineage: Bacteria; Bacillati; Actinomycetota; Actinomycetes; Micrococcales; Microbacteriaceae
Description: partial 16S ribosomal RNA
Rfam family: Bacterial small subunit ribosomal RNA
Source: RNAcentral
UUUUACGGAGAGUUUGAUCCUGGCUCAGGAUGAACGCUGGCGGCGUGCUUAACACAUGCAAGUCGAACGGUGAACACGGAGCUUGCUCUGUGGGAUCAGUGGCGAACGGGUGAGUAACACGUGAGCAACCUGCCCCUGACUCUGGGAUAAGCGCUGGAAACGGCGU